Molecule: ribosomal RNA, 245 nt
Filed under: uncultured bacterium
Lineage: Bacteria
Description: partial 16S ribosomal RNA
Rfam family: Bacterial small subunit ribosomal RNA
Source: RNAcentral
UACGAGGGGGGCAAGCGUUGUUCGGAAUUAUUGGGCGUAAAGGGCGCGUAGGCGGUGUCGCAAGUCGGUAGUGAAAUCUCCAGGCUCAACUUGGAGUCUGCUGCCGAAACUGCGGCGCCGGAGUACUGGAGAGGUGAGUGGAAUUCCCGGUGUAGCGGUGAAAUGCGUAGAUAUUGGGAGGAACACCUGUGGCGAAAGCGGCUCACUGGACAGUAACUGACGCUGAUGCGCGAAAGCUAGGGGAG